GCUUGCUUCUCUGAUGUUAGCGGCGGACGGGUGAGUAACACGUGGAUAACCUACCUAUAAGACUGGGAUAACUUCGGGAAACCGGAGCUAAUACCGGAUAAUAUUUUGAACCGCAUGGUUCAAAAGUGAAAGACGGUCUCGCUGUCACUUAUAGAUGGAUCCGUGCUGCAUUAGCUAGUUGGUAAGGUAACGGCUUACCAAGGCAACGAUGCAUAGCCGACCUGAGAGGGUGAUCGGCCACACUGGAACUGAGACACGGUCCAGACUCCUACGGGAGGCAGCAAUAGGGAAUCUUCCGCAAUGGGCGAAAGCCUGACGGAGCAACGCCGCGUGAGUGAUGAAGGUCUUCGGAUCGUAAAACUCUGUUAUUAGGGAAGAACAUAUGUGUAAGUAACUGUGCACAUCUUGACGGUACCUAAUCAGAAAGCCACGGCUAACUACGUGCCAGCAGCCGCGGUAAUACGUAGGUGGCAAGCGUUAUCCGGAAUUAUUGGGCGUAAAGCGCGCGUAGGCGGUUUUUUAAGUCUGAUGUGAAAGCCCACGGCUCAACCGUGGAGGGUCAUUGGAAACUGGAAAACUUAAGUGCAGAAGAGGAAAGUGGAAUUCCAUGUGUAGCGGUGAAAUGCGCAGAGAUAUGGAGGAACACCAGUGGCGAAGGCGACUUUCUGGUCUGUAACUGACGCUGAUGUGCGAAAGCGUGGGGAUCAAACAGGAUUAGAUACCCUGGUAGUCCACGCCGUAAACGAUGAGUGCUAAGUGUUAGGGGGUUUCCGCCCCUUAGU
This 782-nucleotide ribosomal RNA is filed under the name uncultured Staphylococcus sp. RNAcentral's name for it is "bacterial SSU rRNA". It matches the Rfam family "Bacterial small subunit ribosomal RNA", at positions 78 to 844 of the family's 1533-position model. Lineage: Bacteria; Bacillati; Bacillota; Bacilli; Caryophanales; Staphylococcaceae. The record is from RNAcentral.